RNAcentral lists this ribosomal RNA (467 nucleotides) under uncultured bacterium. Its description in RNAcentral is "partial 16S ribosomal RNA". It matches the Rfam family "Bacterial small subunit ribosomal RNA", at positions 29 to 507 of the family's 1533-position model. The record is from RNAcentral.
ACGAACGCUGGCGGCGUGCUUAACACAUGCAAGUCGAACGGAAAGGCCCUGCUUUUGUGGGGUGCUCGAGUGGCGAACGGGUGAGUAACACGUGAGUAACCUGCCCUUGACUUUGGGAUAACUUCAGGAAACUGGGGCUAAUACCGGAUAGGAGCUCCUGCUGCAUGGUGGGGGUUGGAAAGUUUCGGCGGUUGGGGAUGGACUCGCGGCUUAUCAGCUUGUUGGUGGGGUAGUGGCUUACCAAGGCUUUGACGGGUAGCCGGCCUGAGAGGGUGACCGGCCACAUUGGGACUGAGAUACGGCCCAGACUCCUACGGGAGGCAGCAGUGGGGAAUAUUGCACAAUGGGCGGAAGCCUGAUGCAGCAGCGCCGCGUGCGGAAUGACGGCCUUCGGGUUGUAAACCGCUUUCGCCUGUGACGAAGCGUGAGUGACGGUAAUGGGUAAAGAAGCACCGGCUAACUACGUG